Non-coding RNA from Helianthus annuus (common sunflower), 270 nucleotides. The record is from Rfam. Lineage: Eukaryota; Viridiplantae; Streptophyta; Magnoliopsida; Asterales; Asteraceae.
AGACCAACGGACAAUGUGAUUGGGCUAUAAAUUCACUUAUGUGGGUUUGGGCUCAGGAAAGUCCCCGGGCCCAUUAUCGCAGAGAUGCGGACCUGGAAACAGGUUAAGCUUCGUAGCCAUUUGAAUUCUAGUUGGGCCAGAAAUGGUUUAACGGGCUGAGACCAGUGUGGAGCCUAAAGGAUUCUGAGCUCGAAGUGGGAUUGGCCGAUUAACACAGUCAUUCACAUGGUCACUUGUGACUAACUGAACGGGGCUUAUGAUCCGUUGGUC